This 395-nucleotide ribosomal RNA is filed under the name uncultured soil bacterium. Its description in RNAcentral is "bacterial SSU rRNA". It matches the Rfam family "Bacterial small subunit ribosomal RNA", at positions 26 to 428 of the family's 1533-position model. The record is from RNAcentral.
AGAUUGAACGCUAGCGGGAUGCUUUACACAUGCAAGUCGAACGGCAGCGCGGACUUCGGUCUGGCGGCGAGUGGCGAACGGGUGAGUAAUAUAUCGGAACGUGCCCAGUAGCGGGGGAUAACUACGCGAAAGCGUGGCUAAUACCGCAUACGCCCUACGGGGGAAAGGGGGGAUUCUUCGGAACCUCUCACUAUUGGAGCGGCCGAUAUCAGAUUAGCUAGUUGGUGAGGUAAAGGCUCACCAAGGCGACGAUCUGUAGCUGGUUUGAGAGGACGACCAGCCACACUGGGACUGAGACACGGCCCAGACUCCUACGGGAGGCAGCAGUGGGAAUUUGGACAAUGGGGAAACCUGAUCCAGCCAUCCCGCGUGUGCGAUGAAGGCCUCGGUUGUAA